CAUCCUCCAAGGCUAAAUACUCCUGACUGACCGAUAGUGAACCAGUACCGUGAGGGAAAGGCGAAAAGAACCCCGGCGAGGGGAGUGAAAAAGAACCUGAAACCGUGUACGUACAAGCAGUGGGAGCCCCACCACCAAAGCAUUUGCUGUACCGCGUUGACGGAGCGAAGCGACGUCAAACCGAUAAAACAGCAGUGUAAAGUGAGCCGCAGGGCGCUUUGCGCGACAGCGCAAAGGCAGGCGGUUUCGCGUAGCGAAAGCGAAUGCUUUGGGGUGGGGUGACUGCGUACCUUUUGUAUAAUGGGUCAGCGACUUAUAUUCUGUAGCAAGGUUAACCGAAUAGGGGAGCCGGAGGGAAACCGAGUCUUAAUUGGGCGUUAAGUUGCAGGGUAUAGACCCGAAACCGGA
This 408-nucleotide ribosomal RNA is filed under the name Salmonella enterica subsp. enterica serovar Enteritidis. Its description in RNAcentral is "partial 23S ribosomal RNA". It matches the Rfam family "Bacterial large subunit ribosomal RNA", at positions 454 to 725 of the family's 2925-position model. Lineage: Bacteria; Pseudomonadati; Pseudomonadota; Gammaproteobacteria; Enterobacterales; Enterobacteriaceae. The record is from RNAcentral.